Molecule: ribosomal RNA, 433 nt
Filed under: uncultured bacterium
Lineage: Bacteria
Description: partial 16S ribosomal RNA
Rfam family: Bacterial small subunit ribosomal RNA
Source: RNAcentral
AACGAACGCUGGCGGCAUGCCUAACACAUGCAAGUCGAACGAGACCUUCGGGUCUAGUGGCGCACGGGUGCGUAACGCGUGGGAACCUGCCCUUAGGUUCGGAAUAACUCCCCGAAAGGGGUACUAAUACCGGAUAAUGUCUUCGGACCAAAGAUUUAUCGCCUUUGGAUGGGCCCGCGUUGGAUUAGCUAGUUGGUAGGGUAAAAGCCUACCAAGGCGACGAUCCAUAGCUGGUCUGAGAGGAUGAUCAGCCACACUGGGACUGAGACACGGCCCAGACUCCUACGGGAGGCAGGAGUGGGGAAUAUUGGAAAGUGGGCGAAAGCCUGAUCCAGCAAUGCCGCGUGAGUGAUGAAGGCCUUAGGGUUGUAAAGCUCUUUUACCCGGGAUGAUAAUGACAGUACCGGGAGAAUAAGCUCCGGCUAACUCCGUG